RNAcentral lists this ribosomal RNA (465 nucleotides) under uncultured bacterium. RNAcentral's name for it is "partial 16S ribosomal RNA". It matches the Rfam family "Bacterial small subunit ribosomal RNA", at positions 28 to 507 of the family's 1533-position model. The record is from RNAcentral.
GACGAACGCUGGCGGCGUGCUUAACACAUGCAAGUCGAACGGAAAGGCCCUGCUUGCAGGGUACUCGAGUGGCGAACGGGUGAGUAACACGUGGGUGAUCUGCCCUGCACUUCGGGAUAAGCCUGGGAAACUGGGUCUAAUACCGGAUAGGAGCCAUUUUUAGUGUGAUGGUUGGAAAGUUUUUUCGGUGUAGGAUGAGCUCGCGGCCUAUCAGCUUGUUGGUGGGGUAAUGGCCUACCAAGGCGGCGACGGGUAGCCGGCCUGAGAGGGUGGACGGCCACAUUGGGACUGAGAUACGGCCCAGACUCCUACGGGAGGCAGCAGUGGGGAAUAUUGCACAAGGGGCGCAAGCCUGAUGCAGCGACGCCGCGUGGGGGAUGACGGCCUUCGGGUUGAAAACUCCUUUCGCUAGGGACGAAGCUUUUUGUGACGGUACCUAGAUAAGAAGCACCGGCUAACUACGUG